AUUGAACGCUGGCGGCAGGCCUAACACAUGCAAGUCGAGCGGAUGAAGGGAGCUUGCUCCUGGAUUCAGCGGCGGACGGGUGAGUAAUGCCUAGGAAUCUGCCUGGUAGUGGGGGAUAACGUCCGGAAACGGGCGCUAAUACCGCAUACGUCCUGAGGGAGAAAGUGGGGGAUCUUCGGACCUCACGCUAUCAGAUGAGCCUAGGUCGGAUUAGCUAGUUGGUGGGGUAAAGGCCUACCAAGGCGACGAUCCGUAACUGGUCUGAGAGGAUGAUCAGUCACACUGGAACUGAGACACGGUCCAGACUCCUACGGGAGGCAGCAGUGGGGAAUAUUGGACAAAGGGCGAAAGCCUGAUCCAGCCAUGCCGCGUGUGUGAAGAAGGUCUUCGGAUUGUAAAGCACUUUAAGUUGGGAGGAAGAGCAGUAAGUUAAUACCUUGCUGUUUUGACGUUACCAAAAGAAUAAGCACCGGCUAACUUCGUG
This 484-nucleotide ribosomal RNA is filed under the name uncultured bacterium. Its description in RNAcentral is "partial 16S ribosomal RNA". It matches the Rfam family "Bacterial small subunit ribosomal RNA", at positions 30 to 507 of the family's 1533-position model. The record is from RNAcentral.